RNAcentral lists this ribosomal RNA (276 nucleotides) under uncultured prokaryote. RNAcentral describes it as "partial 16S ribosomal RNA". It matches the Rfam family "Bacterial small subunit ribosomal RNA", at positions 524 to 800 of the family's 1533-position model. The record is from RNAcentral.
UACGUAGGGGGCGAGCGUUGUCCGGAAUUAUUGGGCGUAAAGGGUUCGCAGGCGGUCUGAUAAGUCAGAUGUGAAAGGCGUAGGCUCAACCUACGUAAGCAUUUGAAACUGUCAGACUUGAGUUAAGGAGAGGAAAGUGGAAUUCCUAGUGUAGCGGUGAAAUGCGUAGAUAUUAGGAGGAACACCGGUGGCGAAGGCGGCUUACUGGACUGUAACUGACGCUGAGUCACGAAAGCGUGGGUAGCAAACAGGAUUAGAUACCCUGGUAGUCCCUGA